Molecule: ribosomal RNA, 231 nt
Filed under: uncultured bacterium
Lineage: Bacteria
Description: partial 16S ribosomal RNA
Rfam family: Bacterial small subunit ribosomal RNA
Source: RNAcentral
UGAGCAAUCUGCCCUUCUCUUCGGAAUAAAGACGUGAGAAACCGCGUCUAAUGCCGAAUACGACCUCCUUUCGCAUGAUCGGAGGUGGAAAGCUCCGGCGGAGAAGGAUGAGCUCGCGGCCUAUCAGCUAGUUGGUGUGGGUAAUGGCUCACCAAGGCGACGGACGGGUAGCCGGCCUGAGAGGGUGACCGGCCACACUGGGACUGAGAUACGGCCCAGACUCCGUAGGGA